ACACAUGCAGUCGAGGGGUAUAGUUAGCUUGCUAAUUAGAGACCGGCGCACGGGUGCGUAACGCGUAUGCAAUCUACCUUUCACAGAGGGAUAGCCCAGAGAAAUUUGGAUUAAUACCUCAUAGUAUAAUGAGUUGGCAUCAACCCAUUAUUAAAGUCACAACGGUGAAAGAUGAGCAUGCGUCCCAUUAGCUAGUUGGUAUGGUAACGGCAUACCAAGGCAACGAUGGGUAGGGGUCCUGAGAGGGAGAUCCCCCACACUGGUACUGAGACACGGACCAGACUCCUACGGGAGGCAGCAGUGAGGAAUAUUGGACAAUGGGCGCAAGCCUGAUCCAGCCAUGCCGCGUGCAGGAUGACGGUCCUAUGGAUUGUAAACUGCUUUUGCACAGGAAGAAACAACAUUACGUGUAAUGUCUUGACGGUACUGUGAGAAUAAGGAUCGGCUAACUCCGUGCCAGCAGCCGCGGUAAUACGGAGGAUCCAAGCGUUAUCCGGAAUCAUUGGGUUUAAAGGGUCCGUAGGCGGUCUUAUAAGUCAGUGGUGAAAUCUCCCCGCUCAACGGGGAAACGGCCAUUGAUACUGUAGGACUUGAAUUAUUAGGAAGUAACUAGAAUAUGUAGUGUAGCGGUGAAAUGCUUAGAGAUUACAUGGAAUACCAAUUGCGAAGGCAGGUUACUACUAAUGGAUUGACGCU
This 696-nucleotide ribosomal RNA is filed under the name unidentified microorganism. Its description in RNAcentral is "bacterial SSU rRNA". It matches the Rfam family "Bacterial small subunit ribosomal RNA", at positions 51 to 747 of the family's 1533-position model. The record is from RNAcentral.